ACGCUCGACACCUACGGGAGGCAGCAGUGGGGAAUAUUGCACAAUGGGGGAAACCCUGAUGCAGCGACGCCGCGUGAAGGAAGAAGUAUUUCGGUAUGUAAACUUCUAUCAGCAGGGAAGAAGAAAGUGACGGUACCUGACUAAGAAGCCCCGGCUAACUACGUGCCAACAGCCGCGGUAAUCUGAGCGGGCUGGCAAGGC
RNAcentral lists this ribosomal RNA (201 nucleotides) under uncultured bacterium. RNAcentral describes it as "partial 16S ribosomal RNA". It matches the Rfam family "Bacterial small subunit ribosomal RNA", at positions 328 to 539 of the family's 1533-position model. The record is from RNAcentral.